Molecule: long non-coding RNA, 684 nt
Organism: Pygocentrus nattereri (red-bellied piranha)
Lineage: Eukaryota; Metazoa; Chordata; Actinopteri; Characiformes; Serrasalmidae
Source: Ensembl
UGAGGAAUGAAAGUGGUGCAGAUGUUGAACUUUUAUUUUCAUUUUAUUGUCAGAACAUCUGAUGUUGUUUAGAUGUAGGUGAUUUCUUAUUUAUUGAUCUUUGUGUCUUUUUAGGAUUCCUGUUGAUAUAGUUGAGCGAUGCAGUCCUGUAGCUCUGCUCACUGUGUCCUGAUCUUACUGAUCUUCACAUUCACUGCUGUGUAUGUGUCAGCUGUUCCCCCAGUGAAGGUGAAGCUUAAUGAGACGGCUACUCUGCCCUGCUAUGAGAGCUGUGCUGGUGUCGUCAGAUGGACUGUAUCCCAUAAACCCAGAGAUGUUCUAGCUGAGUGUGAUCAGACUUCAUGUAGAUCAGUGAAGGAGGGAUAUCAGAUGAUCCAUGAUCAGUACCUGAAGGGGAAUCUCUCUCUCAUCAUCACUAAUGCUGACCUCAGUAAGAGCAGUACAUACACGUGUGAGUGCGGCAAAUCAGAGAUCUGUGAUGUGUACCUUCAGGUUGAGGGUAGGUGUUUCUGUUUUCUUCACUGACUGUUAUUAACAGAACUUCAGUGAUUUAGAUGCAGUGCUAUAUUUAUAAUCUAAUAAAGUUCUUGUUUGCUGUUUUUUCUCUCUCACUGUUUCUGAAUUUUGGAUCCAGAGAAAGGAACUGAAAACAGCAGAAACAGUGAGGGAAUGUCCCAUGGUAAG